This 87-nucleotide transfer RNA is filed under the name Dactylonectria estremocensis. RNAcentral's name for it is "Ilyonectria sp. 3 AC-2011 tRNA". It matches the Rfam family "tRNA". From Rfam's summary of the family: Transfer RNA (tRNA) molecules are approximately 80 nucleotides in length. Their secondary structure includes four short double-helical elements and three loops (D, anti-codon, and T loops). Further hydrogen bonds mediate the characteristic L-shaped molecular structure. tRNAs have two regions of fundamental functional importance: the anti-codon, which is responsible for specific mRNA codon recognition, and the 3' end, to which the tRNAs corresponding amino acid is attached (by aminoacyl-tRNA synthetases). tRNAs cope with the degeneracy of the genetic code in two manners: having more than one tRNA (with a specific anti-codon) for a particular amino acid; and 'wobble' base-pairing, i.e. permitting non-standard base-pairing at the 3rd anti-codon position. Lineage: Eukaryota; Fungi; Ascomycota; Sordariomycetes; Hypocreales; Nectriaceae. The record is from Rfam by way of RNAcentral.
GCCCGGUUAGCUCAAUCGGUAGAGCGUGAGACUCUUAACAGAAUUCACAUCAUCUCAAGGUUGCGGGUUCGACCCCCGCAUCGGGCU